GACGAACGCUGGCGGCGUGCUUAACACAUGCAAGUCGAACGGAAAGGCCCUGCUUUUGUGGGGUGCUCGAGUGGCGAACGGGUGAGUAACACGUGAGUAACCUGCCCUUGACUUUGGGAUAACUUCAGGAAACUGGGGCUAAUACCGGAUAGGAGCUCCUGCUGCAUGGUGUGGGUUGGAAAGUUUCGGCGGUUGGGGAUGGAUUCGCUGCUUAUCAGCUUGUUGGUGUGGUAGUGGCUUACCAAGGCUGUGACGGGUAGCCGGCCUGAGAGCGGUACCGGCGACAAGAGGACUGAGAUAGGGACCAGUCGCGAACGGGAGGCAGCAGGGGGGAGUAUGGCACAAUGGGCGGAAGUCUGAUGCAGCAACGCCGCGUGCGGGAUGACGUCCUUCGGGUGGUAAACCGAUUUCGCCUGUGACGAAGCGUGAGUGACGGUAAUGGGUAAAGAAGCACCGGCUAACUACGUG
Molecule: ribosomal RNA, 468 nt
Filed under: uncultured bacterium
Lineage: Bacteria
Description: partial 16S ribosomal RNA
Rfam family: Bacterial small subunit ribosomal RNA
Source: RNAcentral